CCUACGGGUGGCAGCAGUGAGGAAUAUUGGUCAAUGGGCGCGAGACUGAACCAGCCAAGUAGCGUGAAGGAUGACUGCACUGCGGGUUGUAAACUUCUUUUAUAAAGGAAUAAAGUGAGGCACGUGUGCCUUGUUGUAUGUACUUUAUGAAUAAGGAUCGGCUAACUCCGUGCCAGCAGCCGCGGUAAUACGGAGGAGACGAGCGUUAUCCGGAUUUAUUGGGUUUAAAGGGAACGGAGAUGGGUUGUUAAGUCAGUUGUGAAAGUUUGCGGCUCAACCGUAAAAUUGCAAUUGAUACUGGCAGUCUUGAGUACAGUAGAGGUAGGCGGAAUUCGUGGUGUAGCGGUGAAAUGCGUAGAUAUCACGAAGAACUCCGAUUGCGAAGGCAGCUUACUAAACUGCCACUGACACUGAUGCUCGAAAGUGUGGGUAUCAAACAGGAUUAGAUACCCCAGUAGUC
This 460-nucleotide ribosomal RNA is filed under the name uncultured bacterium. RNAcentral's name for it is "partial 16S ribosomal RNA". It matches the Rfam family "Bacterial small subunit ribosomal RNA", at positions 338 to 795 of the family's 1533-position model. The record is from RNAcentral.